RNAcentral lists this ribosomal RNA (578 nucleotides) under Acaulospora colombiana. RNAcentral describes it as "SSU rRNA". It matches the Rfam family "Eukaryotic small subunit ribosomal RNA", at positions 445 to 1024 of the family's 1831-position model. The record is from RNAcentral. Lineage: Eukaryota; Fungi; Glomeromycota; Glomeromycetes; Diversisporales; Acaulosporaceae.
CCAAUCCCAACACGGGGAGGUAGUGACAAUAAAUAACAAUAUGGGGCCUUUACGGGUCUCGUAAUUGGAAUGAGUACAAUUUAAAUCCCUUAACGAGGAACAAUUGGAGGGCAAGUCUGGUGCCAGCAGCCGCGGUAAUUCCAGCUCCAAUAGCGUAUAUUAAAGUUGUUGCAGUUAAAAAGCUCGUAGUUGAAUUUCGGGGUCUGUCCAUCGGUCGGGCUUUUUCGGUCCGCACUGUUGCGAGGGAUUCCUCCCUUCUGAAUAACCGAUUUGCCAUUAAUUUGGUGGGUCGGGGAAGCAGGACUGUUACCUUGAAAAAAUUAGAGUGCUCAAAGCAGGCUAGUGCCUGAAUACAUUAGCAUGGAAUAAUAAAAUAGGACGGCAUGGUUUUAUUUUGUUGGUUUCUAGGAUCACCGUAAUGAUUAAUAGGGAUAGUUGGGGGCAUUAGUAUUCAAUUGUCAGAGGUGAAAUUCUUGGAUUUAUUGAAGACUAACUACUGCGAAAGCAUUUGCCAAGGAUGUUUUCAUUAAUCAAGAAAGAAAAUUAGGGGAUCGAAGACGAUCAGAGACCGUCGUAGU